ACCAGUUUAUUUUAAUUUUUAGAAUUUUUCUUUUGCUAAGAGAAGGCUCUCUGGUGGUU
This 59-nucleotide transfer RNA is filed under the name Globodera rostochiensis. RNAcentral's name for it is "tRNA-Ala". Lineage: Eukaryota; Metazoa; Nematoda; Chromadorea; Rhabditida; Heteroderidae. RNAcentral also lists the same sequence under 1 other name. The record is from RNAcentral.